This 216-nucleotide long non-coding RNA is filed under the name Lathyrus oleraceus (garden pea). RNAcentral describes it as "Pisum sativum (pea) long non-coding RNA (PSAT_LNC040648)". Lineage: Eukaryota; Viridiplantae; Streptophyta; Magnoliopsida; Fabales; Fabaceae. The record is from RNAcentral.
UGUUUUCUAAUUUAAUUUAAUUCAAAGCUUUUAUUUAGUUGAAAUAGAUCUCUUAUCACCACGGUCAAACAAAUUUCUACUUAAUAUUUUUUGGAUAUUGUUUUCAGUUUUUCUUUCUUCUUACUAUGUUUUGAAAUUAUUGGUAUUGAAUUUUCUUCAUUCAUUGGAUCCUUUGCCUUUCAUUAUUGGUGGUGAACACUUUGACUAUUGUAAUUA